This 913-nucleotide long non-coding RNA is filed under the name Numida meleagris (helmeted guineafowl). Its description in RNAcentral is "lncRNA (ENSNMEG00000002820.1)". The record is from RNAcentral. Lineage: Eukaryota; Metazoa; Chordata; Aves; Galliformes; Numididae.
AUGGAGUUUAGCACCUCCAAAAACACAUUAGUUGAGCUUUUUAUUUCAGGUCUUUCAGAGGCAGGGCUCUUGAGGGUCAGCCCCUUCCUGCACCAGGGAUUACAGAUCCCUGUGGAGGGGUCCCAGCCUGGGGACAGCAUCCUUCCCACAGCAGGGCUGCAGCCGCCAUGCCGGGGGAGCCAGGGCCUCUGGGGGGGCUUGCCUGUCUUCAUGCAUAGCUCCCUGAUGCAGGAGCUGCCCUCGCUUUGGGAAAUAAUUCAGAGUGGUUUUUUUGCUUUUUUUUCUGUUAAUGAAAAUGACCGAAAACCAACAGGGGGGAUUAUUUUCUGCGGCCACCUGUGGGUAGGGCAGGUUGGAAUUAUUUUCCUGCAUGGCGAAUGCCCUGUGUGGCCCCAAGGUGCUGGUGGAUGCUUUUCCUCCUUACAGGUGUUCCUGGGAACUAAGAUUCAGAGAGCAAGGCUGCCUUUCUUUUUCCCAUUUCCACAUGGAGGAGAGGAAGGAAGGGUCAGGGAACGACUCUCCCCCCACCCGCUGAUGAGUCAUUCCUGACGGCCUGGUGCUGUUCAGCUCCUGUCUACAACACACAUCUCUGCUUCUGGGCUGGAGGAACAGCAUGUGUGGGACCCGAGCUGCUUCUCACAUCGGGCAGUGAGUAGGGAGCGGGUGGAGGGGUGAGGAUGCUCACCCUGAGCACGGUGAGAUUUCCCCUUUCCCUUCCUGGAUCGACGCUGAACUUUGGGCACAUUUCUUGGCUCAGUUGGCAGUUAUUAAAAUUCGCUGCUCACUUUUGUUUACAGUUGGUUAUUUACUUUGUUGAAUUUUUAAAAACUUGUUAGAAUGCAAUUGAACACAGAUUCAACAGUAUUUAAGCUUGAAAAAUAAAGAUGCAUUAGAAAGAUGCCUAUUAUGCUUC